Molecule: ribosomal RNA, 253 nt
Filed under: uncultured bacterium
Lineage: Bacteria
Description: partial 16S ribosomal RNA
Rfam family: Bacterial small subunit ribosomal RNA
Source: RNAcentral
UACAGAGGGUGCGAGCGUUAAUCGGAAUUACUGGGCGUAAAGCGCGCGUAGGCGGCUUUGCAAGUCGGGUGUGAAAUCCCCAGGCUUAACCUGGGAACUGCAUUCGAGACUGCAUUGCUAGAGUAUGGGAGAGGGAAGUGGAAUUUCCGGUGUAGCGGUGAAAUGCGUAGAUAUCGGAAGGAACACCUGUGGCGAAAGCGAUGCACUGGACCUCUUCUGACGCUGAGGCGCGAAAGCCAGGGUAGCGAACGGG